RNAcentral lists this ribosomal RNA (253 nucleotides) under uncultured bacterium. RNAcentral's name for it is "partial 16S ribosomal RNA". It matches the Rfam family "Bacterial small subunit ribosomal RNA", at positions 524 to 776 of the family's 1533-position model. The record is from RNAcentral.
UACGAAGGGGGCAUGCGUUGUUCGGAAUUACUGGGCGUAAAGGGCGCGCAGGCGGCCCUUGAAGUCAGGUGUGAAAGCCCCGGGCUCAACCUGGGAACGGCGAUGGAUACUGGCGGGCUAGAGUGCGGUAGAGGGUGGUGGAAUUCCCGGUGUAGCAGUGAAAUGCGUAGAGAUCGGGAGGAACAUCAGUGGCGAAGGCGGCCACCUGGACCAGCACUGACACUGAGGCACGAAAACGUGGGGAGCAAACAGG